RNAcentral lists this transfer RNA (73 nucleotides) under Fasciola hepatica (liver fluke). It matches the Rfam family "tRNA". From Rfam's summary of the family: Transfer RNA (tRNA) molecules are approximately 80 nucleotides in length. Their secondary structure includes four short double-helical elements and three loops (D, anti-codon, and T loops). Lineage: Eukaryota; Metazoa; Platyhelminthes; Trematoda; Plagiorchiida; Fasciolidae. The record is from Rfam by way of RNAcentral.
ACUGCGGUAGCUCAGUUGGUAGAGCAUCUGUUCGGCGAGCGGAGUGUUGCCGAUUCAAUUCCGGACCGUAGUU